GGCAGCGGCGGCUGCAGCCUCGCUCUCGUCCCUGCGGCUGGCGGCGGAGCCGUGUGUCUCCUCCUCCGCCGCCGCCAUAUUGUCUGUGUGAGGAGAGGGGAGAGCGGCCGCUGCUGCCGCUUCCACCACAGUUUAAAGAAAACAGGUCUGAAACAAGGUCUUACCCCCAGCUGCUUCUGAACACAGUGACCACCAGAUCUCCAAACAUCAAGUCCACCUUCGUUCGCCAACCUGUCUGACAUGUCGGGACCCGUGCCAAGCAGGGCCAGAGUUUACACAGAUGUUAAUACACACAGACCCCGAGAGUACUGGGAUUAUGAGUCACACGUGGUGGAGUGGGGUAAUCAAGAUGACUACCAGCUGGUUCGAAAAUUAGGCCGGGGUAAAUACAGUGAAGUAUUUGAAGCUAUCAACAUCACAAAUAAUGAAAAAGUUGUUGUUAAAAUUCUCAAGGUGAGUAUAAGA
Leptonychotes weddellii (Weddell seal) is the source of this 465-nucleotide non-coding RNA. The record is from RefSeq and is a predicted model, not a curated record. NCBI's taxonomy places the organism in Eukaryota, Metazoa, Chordata, Mammalia, Carnivora, Phocidae.